RNAcentral lists this ribosomal RNA (253 nucleotides) under uncultured bacterium. RNAcentral's name for it is "partial 16S ribosomal RNA". It matches the Rfam family "Bacterial small subunit ribosomal RNA", at positions 524 to 776 of the family's 1533-position model. The record is from RNAcentral.
UACGUAGGGUGCAAGCGUUGUCCGGAAUUAUUGGGCGUAAAGAGCUCGUAGGCGGUUUGUCGCGUCGGCUGUGAAAACCCGGGGCUCAACCCCGGGCCUGCAGUCGAUACGGGCAAACUAGAGUGUGGUAGGGGAGACUGGAAUUCCUGGUGUAGCGGUGAAAUGCGCAGAUAUCAGGAGGAACACCGGUGGCGAAGGCGGGUCUCUGGGCCGUAACUGACGCUGAGGAGCGAAAGCGUGGGGAGCGAACAGG